RNAcentral lists this ribosomal RNA (253 nucleotides) under uncultured bacterium. Its description in RNAcentral is "partial 16S ribosomal RNA". It matches the Rfam family "Bacterial small subunit ribosomal RNA", at positions 524 to 776 of the family's 1533-position model. The record is from RNAcentral.
UACAGAGGUGGCAAGCGUUGUUCGGAAUUACUGGGCGUAAAGGGCGCGUAGGCGGCCUUCUAAGUCAGACGUGAAAUCCCCCGGCUUAACCUGGGAACUGCGUCUGAAACUGGUCGGCUUGAAUAUGGAAGAGGGUCGCGGAAUUCCCGGUGUAGAGGUGAAAUUCGUAGAUAUCGGGAGGAACACCAGUGGCGAAGGCGGCGACCUGGGCCAAUAUUGACGCUGAGGUGCGAAAGCGUGGGGAGCAAACAGG